RNAcentral lists this transfer RNA (58 nucleotides) under Borreliella burgdorferi 118a. RNAcentral describes it as "tRNA-Ser". It matches the Rfam family "tRNA", at positions 14 to 69 of the family's 71-position model. Rfam says of the family: Transfer RNA (tRNA) molecules are approximately 80 nucleotides in length. Their secondary structure includes four short double-helical elements and three loops (D, anti-codon, and T loops). Further hydrogen bonds mediate the characteristic L-shaped molecular structure. tRNAs have two regions of fundamental functional importance: the anti-codon, which is responsible for specific mRNA codon recognition, and the 3' end, to which the tRNAs corresponding amino acid is attached (by aminoacyl-tRNA synthetases). tRNAs cope with the degeneracy of the genetic code in two manners: having more than one tRNA (with a specific anti-codon) for a particular amino acid; and 'wobble' base-pairing, i.e. permitting non-standard base-pairing at the 3rd anti-codon position. The record is from RNAcentral. Lineage: Bacteria; Pseudomonadati; Spirochaetota; Spirochaetia; Spirochaetales; Borreliaceae.
AGUGGUAAGUCAACUGGUUUUGGUCCAGUCAUUCGAGGGUUCGAAUCCUUCCGUCCCA